Molecule: ribosomal RNA, 254 nt
Filed under: uncultured bacterium
Lineage: Bacteria
Description: partial 16S ribosomal RNA
Rfam family: Bacterial small subunit ribosomal RNA
Source: RNAcentral
UACGUAGGGGGCGAGCGUUGUCCGGAUUUAUUGGGCGUAAAGAGCUCGUAGGCGGUUCGGCAAGUCAGAUGUAAAAACUCCAGGCUCAACUUGGAGAGGCCAUCUGAUACUGCCGUGACUAGAGUCCGGUAGAGGAGCACGGAAUUCCUGGUGUAGCGGUGAAAUGCGCAGAUAUCAGGAGGAACACCAGCGGCGAAGGCGGUGCUCUGGGCCGGAACUGACGCUGAGGAGCGAAAGCGUGGGGAGCGAACAGG